AGAGUUUGAUCAUGGCUCAGGACGAACGCUGGCGGCGCGCUUAACACAUGCAAGUCGUGCGAUACCUCGAGCAAGUCUUACGACAAGCUCAAGGUGUAGCGGCGGACGGGUGAGUAACACGUGAGUAGCUGUCCUAAGGAGGGGGAUAACGCCUGGAAACGGGUGCUAAAACCCCAUAUGCCUCGCAAGAGGUGAAAGUGUAGCUUGCUACAGCCUUAGGGUGUGCUCGCGGCCUAUCAGCUAGUUGGUGAGGUAACGGCUCACCAAGGCUAAGACGGGUAGCCGGCCUGAGAGGGUGUACGGCCACACUGGAAUUGAGAUACGGUCCAGACUCCUACGGGAGGCAGCAGUGGGGAAUCUUGGGCAAUGGGCGAAAGCCUGACCCAGCGACGCCGCGUUGGGGAUGAAGCCCUUCGGGGUGUAAACCCAUGUUGUAGGGGACGAAGAAAGUGACGGUACCCUACGAGGAAGCCCCGGCUAACUACGUGCCAGCAGCCGCGGUAAGACGCAGGGGGCGAGCGUUGUCCGGAAUUACUGGGCGUAAAGGGCACGCAGGCGGUGCGCCAAGUCGAGGGUGUAAAGUUACGGCUCAACCGUGACAUUGCAAUCGAUACUGGCGCACUGGAGUGCGGGAGAGGGAAGUGGAAUUCCCGGUGUAGCGGUGAAAUGCGUAGAUAUCGGGAGGAACGCCAGUGGCGAAGGCGGCUUCCUGGCCCGCGACUGACGCUCAUGUGCGAAAGCCAGGGGAGCGAACCGGAUUAGAUACCCGGGUAGUCCUGGCCGUAAACGAUGGGUGCUAGGUGUAGGCGCGUCAAGCGUCUGUGCCGAAGUUAACGCGUUAAGCACCUCGCCUGCGGAGUACGGUCGCAAGGCUGAAACUCAAGGGAAUUGACGG
RNAcentral lists this ribosomal RNA (895 nucleotides) under Synergistetes bacterium enrichment culture clone L55B-109. RNAcentral's name for it is "bacterial SSU rRNA". It matches the Rfam family "Bacterial small subunit ribosomal RNA", at positions 8 to 916 of the family's 1533-position model. Lineage: Bacteria; Thermotogati; Synergistota. The record is from RNAcentral.